CUUGGUCUUUUUCCUUCCAUGGCGUCUUUCUUUUUCUU
RNAcentral lists this small RNA (38 nucleotides) under Arabidopsis thaliana (thale cress). Its description in RNAcentral is "ATSL005770". The record is from RNAcentral. Lineage: Eukaryota; Viridiplantae; Streptophyta; Magnoliopsida; Brassicales; Brassicaceae.